CCCUUAGAUGUCCGGGGCCGCACGCGCGCUACACUGAAGGAAUCAGCGUGGCUUUCUCCCUGACCCGAAAGGGUUGGGAAACCCGUUGAAUCUCCUUCGUGAUAGGGAUUGGGGCUUGAAAUUGUUCCCCAUGAACGAGGAAUUCCCAGUAAGCGCGAGUCAUAAGCUCGCGUUGAUUACGUCCCUGCCCUUUGUACACACCGCCCGUCGCUACUACCGAUUGAGUGAUCCGGUGAAUUAUUCGGACUGCAACGCGCUCAGUUCCUGGAUGCGAUUGCGGAAAGUUUUGUGAACCUUACCACUUAGAGGAAGGAGAAGUCGUAACA
Molecule: ribosomal RNA, 326 nt
Filed under: uncultured eukaryote
Lineage: Eukaryota
Description: partial 18S ribosomal RNA
Rfam family: Eukaryotic small subunit ribosomal RNA
Source: RNAcentral